This 576-nucleotide ribosomal RNA is filed under the name Orthotylinae gen. AUSTROGEN sp. Msp134. Its description in RNAcentral is "SSU rRNA". It matches the Rfam family "Eukaryotic small subunit ribosomal RNA", at positions 387 to 865 of the family's 1831-position model. Lineage: Eukaryota; Metazoa; Arthropoda; Insecta; Hemiptera; Miridae. The record is from RNAcentral.
AGAGGGAGCCUGAGAAACGGCUACCACAUCCAAGGAAGGCAGCAGGCACGCAAAUUACCCACUCCCGGCACGGGGAGGUAGUGACAAAAAAUAACGAUUACGGGACUCUUAUGAGGCCCCGUAAUCGGAAUGAGUACACUUUAAAUCCUUUAACAAGGAUCCAUUGGAGGGCAAGUCUGGUGCCAGCAGCCGCGGUAAUUCCAGCUCCAAUAGCGUAUAUAAAGUUGUUGCGGUUAAAAAGCUCGUAGUUGGUUCUGCGUGCUACGCUGUCGGUUCGCCGCCUGCCGGUGUAACUGGCAUGCCGUGGCAUGUCCUGUCGGUGGUGUUCGGGAGCUUCGUCUAGGUGACUCCUCCGGACCGCAAGGGACGGUUGGUUGUUCAACCGGGAGCCUCCCCGUUCGCCUACUCUAUCCUACCUAGGUGCUCUUCACCGAGUGUCGAGGUAGGCCGACACGUUUACUUUGAACAAAUUAGAGUGCUCAAAGCAGGCCUGAAAUUUCUGCCUGAAUAGUGGUGCAUGGAAUAAUAAAACAGGACCUCGGUUUUAUUUUGUUGGUUCUUAGGAACACGAGGUAA